RNAcentral lists this ribosomal RNA (253 nucleotides) under uncultured bacterium. Its description in RNAcentral is "partial 16S ribosomal RNA". It matches the Rfam family "Bacterial small subunit ribosomal RNA", at positions 524 to 776 of the family's 1533-position model. The record is from RNAcentral.
UACGUAGGAUGCAAGCGAUGUCCGGAUUUAUUGGGUUUAAAGGGUGCGGAGGCGGCCUAUUAAGUUAGUGGUGAAAACGUUCGGCUUAACCGGAUACCCGCCAUUGAUACUGAUAGACUUGAGUGCGACAGAGGGUGUUGGAAUGUGUGGUGUAGCGGUGAAAUGCUUAGAGAUCACGUAGAACACCAAUUGCGAAGGCAGAUGCCUAUGUCGUAACUGACGAUGAGGCACGAAAGAGUGGGGAGCAAACAGG